Cyanistes caeruleus (blue tit) is the source of this 4207-nucleotide non-coding RNA. NCBI's taxonomy places the organism in Eukaryota, Metazoa, Chordata, Aves, Passeriformes, Paridae. The record is from RefSeq and is a predicted model, not a curated record.
GGGGAGGGGUCAUAGUACUGGAAAGGAGAUUAUACAGAAUCACAGAAAAUCCCAAAUUGGCAGAGACCCACCGAGGAUAUCGAGUCGAUCUCCUGGCCCUGCACAGGACACUCUAAGAGUCGAACCUUGUGCCUGACAGCGUUGUCCGAACACUUCUUGGUGCUGUGACUACCUCCCUGGGAAGCCCGUUUUAGUGCCGAACCACAGUGAACUUCUCAGUGAAAAACCUCUUCCUGGUAUCCAACCUAAACCUCCCCUGACUCGCCAUCGAAUCCUCUCACUGGCCACGAGAGUAAAGAGAUGGGUACCUGCCUCUCCGCUUCCCCUCGUGAGGGAGCUGUAGACUGCGACGGACAUUAGGAAGAAUUUUUUCACGGGAACGAUUAGACAUUGCAGUGGUCUUCCCGGGAGGGUGGUGGAGUCACUGCACCCGGAGAUGUUUAAGGAAAGACUGGACAUCGCACAGGCGUGUUCACACGGUGAUGCAUCCCGGGCACCCUGCUGAGGAGGGCUUGACACAGCUUAGUUCGCCUAAAUGAGUUCUGCUUCUGAGACACACCGAAGUGGAAGGGAGGGCAACACUUGGUACACAAAGAAUGUUCAGGUUUUAAUCAAAUCAUCAAGGAAUUGUUUAUUCAAAUCAACAGUUCUUUUGCAUUUUUAAUCAAUUCUUUCAGUCUUGACAUAAAUCAAAUUGACCGAAAGAAACAUUUUCUGCUGGCUCUUAAGGAGUUAAUUUCUUCCACCUGCAGUAUUUCCUCUAAAGCAAGCACCGAGUUUAUUUUUACAGCUAAAUUCCUAAAUAGCAGGUCAGUGAGGGGAAGGGAAGGUUUGCUGCAACUGGGAUUUCAUAUUCUGCUUUUCAGGAAUGAUACAUUUCUUUGAGAAAUACUCUGAUCAUUGAGUGUAGUGGCGGUUUGAGUUUUUGUCGAAUUACCUUCACUGUAUUUCAUCGUAUUUGGAAAAGAAGAAAGAAGCUACUAAAAAAAAAAAAAUGCUGGCUUUAGAACAGUGGGAAAGGAGCCAUAAUUUUUCCAAGGUAAACCUCUGCUGUUACCUUCUGAGUGAGUCAUCUAUCCCCCCUAGGGGUAUAGUUCACUUUUUGAGCUCUUAAAAUAGACUUUUGUAAUGGGUUUGUUCCUUCAUCAGAUACUUUCCUUCUGUAGCUGCCUUAAAAGGGCUUAAAUUCUUCUAGUUACUGCCUGAUUGCCUCAUUUCAUAUCCCACAUGUGUUCGGCAGAGGAGAAUGUUGAAGCAUUAGUUUUUCUUCAGUAACAGAUUUUAGCAUGCAGAUUUAAAUGGGAAUGCUGAAAAAAUACACACUUGCACUUCUGAUUACAUAGCAAUUACUAACUGCAAAGGAUGACUUCUCUGGUUAGAAAUAGUAGAGCUAGCAAGAAAACCAUUUUGGGGCAAACCUAAAGUGGGACAGCUUUCAAAGCUUUGGUAUUAGCGCUUACUAGUUUAAAAGGUGGAAGGCGAAAUCUGAUGUUGUGAAAUGGGAGGUUAGCUAUCAUAUUGACAGUAGUUUUAUUAAAGUGUCAGGAAAAAAAGAGUAAGAGAUGCUACCAAACAGUGUUUGUGGAACUGGAACUGGUUUGUUUCUCAUGUGUAUCAUGUAAUUUAAGUUUGCAUCAAUACUUGCAUAAUUUUUAUUAUGUUUAGGAAGUGGGGGUUUUUGUGUUGCAAUUUAGUAACCUAAACAGUAAUAACUUCCAUCUGUGGUUUUAUAAAUUGCUUUUAUAGGUUUUAAUAUGUCUGUUGUUAUGGUCACUCUACAAUAUCUAAACUCUGUUGUUAACUUUUUUGCUUUAAUAAUUCGAAAAUGUGGGGUCUUUUUCUUUACUGCUUAAAAAAUGUAAUUUCACUUUACAAUAAGAAGGUUGAUAAACUGAAAAAUGUCUUGUGUUUCUAGCUAUCGAAAAUAAUUUCCAGGUGAGAAGAUAGCACUGGUCUCCAUAUGCUGAUUGUAAAUCUCUUUCUAACUAGAGCAUUUACAUAGAGAGCACUAAGUAUUAAAUUACCUUUUCAGGAAAUAAAAGCAGCUUUUGUUAACAUGGUCUGUGCUGUCUUGGAAAGCUUUCACCUUCUGCUGCGUGGCCCUGCCCUCUGGUGGGCACGCAAAGGCUGGCUGAGAGCCUGCUUUUACGUAAACUGGAAAGUUGUCUCCAAGAAAUCUUACCUAAUCUUACUUGAAAAUCUUGAGAUGUAAAAGCGUUUAGUUUUCCCCAUUGUGUUUCAGUCGCAGUUUUGCAGUCUUGUGGCAACGGCAGAGAUACUAUCACAUGCGUCUUCAGACGUUAAAGUAAAAUAGUAGGAUUGAUGAGACUUGCAUGUUAUUACGGUGCUUUCUUCUUCUCAUACGGUUGAAAUGAAGGUCAAAAAUGUGUUUUCCUGAAUGCUAGUUUGCUUGCCAUUUUUGUCUGUGAUAUUUUUAGAUACUUUGAACUUUGCACAGACAGAGUAUCUGUUGUAUUUAAUUCCAAGUUAAAGAUUCAUGUUCCAACAUAUGUUUUCAUUCUGGAACUUCUUGGAUGGUCUUCUGUAAUCUUAUUACAAUCAGGGAGAGAGAAGUUUCUUUAUCCUAUUCAAGAAAUAACUUUUCCAUAUUUCACUAAAGCUUUUCUAUCUUUCUCCCUGUGCCACCACUUGCACUUUAUCACUCCAUGUAUAUUCCUUGCAGUUAAAGAUUUAGAAAUCAGUAAAUGUCAAAAAGCCUUUAAAGAUCUAAUUUGAAUUUAUUACUGCUUAAUUUUGAAGCAAUAUGAUACAUGUCUUAAGGAGAUAGAAUCUUGUUUCAUAAUCCACUGAGGUUUUUUAAGUAUGGACCAUGAAUCUGAUCCUGCAAGCUAGUAGUAGCAUAAAUAGAUGUUAUGUAAUGGUUCACAAAGUCACCAGGAAGCAUCAGGUUCUUAUUAAGAAACUGCUGAGAGAAAGACUUGUAUAAUACUAGUGGGUUUAUUUUUUUUUUCCAAGGAGAAAGGGAACUUUGGUUUUUAAUAUUUUUUGGUCACAUUUAGAAAGUAUGACUUUUCAUAAAAUGUGUUGUAGUUCUUUAAAAGUGACAUAUGCACUAAAACUCAAAAUGCAAAAUUCACACAGGAAAGUAAUCUGAAACUUCCUCUGAAAUUGCACCUGACUUGGGCUGCCAGAUGGGAGCUUAUGCUCAGAAAUAUGCAGGGCUGAAAUCACAACAUACAGGGUGUAGUAUUUGAAUUAUAACUACUAGAAUUUACUUGGAUGAAGAAAAGCUAUGAAACUGAAGUCAAAAUCUCAGUUGUGAGUAAGAAAGCCUUGGGGUUUUCUGGUGUGAGCUUUGUUUGUUUGUUUGUUUUGUUUGGUUUGGUUGUUGGUUUUUUUCGUGGAGACAAAGUUGAAAAGAGGGUAAAUAUUCCAAGUUUAUUUUGAACAUUAUAAUAUAAUACAUAUCAAUAGUAGUAUAUAUUAAUAAUGUAGAUAUAUAUCCAUGGAGAGAGUCCACAGGAGGAUCACUGAAUUGAUCAGAGGAUGGAGCACCACUGCUAUGAGGAAAAGGAUGAGAAAAUUUGGUUUAUUCACCAGGGAGAAGGGAAGGCUUUGGGGCUUCCAGUAUCCAAAGGGAGGCUACAGAAAUGAUGGAGAGAGACUGUUUUACAAGAGCCUAGAGUGACAGGACAAGGGGGAAUGGCUUCAAAGUGAAAGGCAGUAGGUUUACCUUAGAUAUUAGGAAGACAUUCUUUACUGUGAGGGUGGUGAGACACUGGCAAAGAUUGCCCAGAGAAGCUAUUUGUGUCCCAUCCUUGACAAAGUUCAGGGCAGGUAGGAUGUGGCUCUGAGCAACCAGGACUAGUGAAAAGUGUCCCUGUCCAUGGCAGAUGAGUUGGAAUUUGAUGUCUUUAAAGUCCCUUCCAACCCCAAGCCAAUCUGAUUCUGUCAUUCUGUCAAGUUCACCUCAUAAAUGAAUAGCAAUGGCAAAAAAUAGCUUUAGUGAUGCAGUGAUAAAAGGUAUGUGAAUGUCUGUGUGUGUGUCUAUAUAUGCUUAUAUUUUUAACGAAACGUACUGAAUAUUGUCUAUUUAUCAGGGUAUUGGAAGGCUUAUAACUGAAGAAAAUUGAAAGACAGUGGAACAGAAGAAACUUGUGUUGUCUUCCUGUCCAAGUAUCAUGAUCCAAUGGUCUAAUUAUGAACAAUUUUUAAUAAAAGUAAGGAUAUAUAAAUCAUAAAUCUA